CAGCCGCCGCGGUAAUACGUAGGGUGCGAGCGUUAAUCGGAAUUACUGGGCGUAAAGCGUGCGCAGGCGGUUGUGUAAGACAGGUGUGAAAUCCCCGGGCUUAACCUGGGAACUGCGCUUGUGACUGCACAGCUAGAGUAUGGCAGAGGGGGGUGGAAUUCCACGUGUAGCAGUGAAAUGCGUAGAGAUGUGGAGGAACACCGAUGGCGAAGGCAGCCCCCUGGGCCAAUACUGACGCUCAUGCACGAAAGCGUGGGGAGCGAACAGGAUUAGAUACCCGCGUAGUCCCUGUCUCUUAUAC
Molecule: ribosomal RNA, 301 nt
Filed under: uncultured bacterium
Lineage: Bacteria
Description: partial 16S ribosomal RNA
Rfam family: Bacterial small subunit ribosomal RNA
Source: RNAcentral